Non-coding RNA from Acanthosepion pharaonis, 112 nucleotides. NCBI's taxonomy places the organism in Eukaryota, Metazoa, Mollusca, Cephalopoda, Sepiida, Sepiidae. The record is from the annotation of a GenBank genome assembly.
UUACGGCCACAUCACGUUGAAACACCUGUUCCCGUACAAUCACCAAAGUUAAGCAAUGUCGAGCCUGAUCAGUACCUAGACGGGUGACUGCUUGGAAACACCGGGGGCUGUU